AAAAUCCGUCGACUUUUAAAAUCGUGAGGGUCGCCCCCCCCCCCCCUUAUCCCCA
RNAcentral lists this transfer RNA (55 nucleotides) under Lachnaea laxa. Its description in RNAcentral is "partial transfer RNA-Leu (UAA)". The record is from RNAcentral. Lineage: Eukaryota; Viridiplantae; Streptophyta; Magnoliopsida; Malvales; Thymelaeaceae.